Molecule: long non-coding RNA, 155 nt
Organism: Cervus elaphus (red deer)
Lineage: Eukaryota; Metazoa; Chordata; Mammalia; Artiodactyla; Cervidae
Exons: 3
Source: RefSeq, a predicted model, not a curated record
AAGAUUCCCUGAAGAAGGGAUAGGCUACCCACGCCAGUAUUCUUGGGCUUCCCUGGUGGCUCAGCUGGUAAAGAAUCCGCCUGCAAUGUGGGAGACCUGGGUUCAAUCCCUGGGUUGGGAAGAUCCCCUGGUGAAGGGAAAGGCUACCCACUCCA